Nicotiana tabacum (common tobacco) is the source of this 669-nucleotide non-coding RNA. The record is from RefSeq and is a predicted model, not a curated record. Lineage: Eukaryota; Viridiplantae; Streptophyta; Magnoliopsida; Solanales; Solanaceae.
UUAAAUCUUUCCUUAUUAAAAACUCCUAAUAUUUUGGACUAUUAAUCCUACUCGCACAAUGACACUGUCCAAAAGACACAGUUUGUUUCGACAUCCAAUUCUAAUUCUUCUCUUGUAUACGAGAGGUCUGUUAUGGAUUCAGCUUGGAGAAGGUAAGCAUAAUCCGUAUAUCAUUUAAAAUGAGUUGCAUUCUUCGAUUUGUAUAGAUUUAUCGAUGUUGAUUGGUUUUUAUUUUCUAUAUGACUUUUUGGAUAUUCUCUGUGCUAUUUAGGAUAAUGAUUUACUUUAAAAUCAGUUGCAUUAGUUGUUGAGGACUAGGGCUGUUCAAAACCGAACCGUAACCGAAAACCGAACCGCAAAAUUGGUUUAAUGGCUUAUUGGUAUCGGGUUAUCGGAUUAAUGGAUGGUGAAUGGAUUGAAAAUUUAUAAUUAAUGGCUUAUCGAUUUGGGAACGGAUUAUUCAAUUUUCUUAACGGUUAAGCCGUUAACCCGUUAAGAAUUUUUAUAUUUAUAUUUUUACCAGAAUAUGUAUAUUAAAUAUCCCUUCCACUAUUUGACAAAGUAGCAGUUAUUAUUCACAUCAAAAGGUUCACUAAGACACUACCUGUUACUGUUUUAUCACGGAUACUAACUUAGUGGUAUUAAUAUUGAAAAUUCACUUUCAAAUUA